This is a long non-coding RNA of Cebus imitator (Panamanian white-faced capuchin), 107 nucleotides long. RefSeq lists it as uncharacterized. The record is from RefSeq and is a predicted model, not a curated record. The transcript has 2 exons. Lineage: Eukaryota; Metazoa; Chordata; Mammalia; Primates; Cebidae.
CUUUAACACAUGGUUAACGAGAUUCACCUACCUGAUAAGAAUGAGUCACCUGCACUGCUUCCUUAACCAGAGCAGACUUCUGGGAUACAAGUUGCACAGAAGGAAAA